AAUUUUUUUUUUUGAGAAAAUAACGCAUUCAAUUAUAUUGGGCCCAAAAUUUGUUUUGCCGACAUCCUAAAUAUACAUAUAAUACGUUUGGCUCAUCUGGAUUAGUUCACUCUGUAAAAACCCUAUCUCUAGAAAGUAGUAACUCUUCGACGGUCCGGUACUGCAAAUGACUUCAAGGGUUGCAGGCCGAUUAUAUAUUGUCUUUUGGAGAAAUUUCCUAGCAAUUCUAUCUCAGCAACAACGGACGGUUAUCUGAUGAGCAAUUUUACGGUAUUGUUACGGACAUAAGAUUUGCUCUGACGGUGGAAACGUCAUCGAAUAAAAGCUGCUAAAACCAGAAUUGAAGUUAAUGGAUUUUCGCAACUCAGAUCAUGUUGGAUAUUAUACCGUGAAGCUGGUUGGACUUCUUUGAGUGCAUAUAGUUAUUGUUACGUGAGAUGUUAUUGGUAAAUAAAUAUAUCGAUUAAUAAAUUGAAUAUUGACAUGGAUUAGUGAUUUAUUUUAGAGUGCGUUUGGAUGGAAGGAUUUGGAGGAGGAUUUGAUUUGGGGAGUCAUUUGAAAUCCACACCAAUUGCCCCAAAAAAAACUAAA
Non-coding RNA from Erythranthe guttata (spotted monkey flower), 591 nucleotides. Lineage: Eukaryota; Viridiplantae; Streptophyta; Magnoliopsida; Lamiales; Phrymaceae. The record is from RefSeq and is a predicted model, not a curated record.